RNAcentral lists this ribosomal RNA (744 nucleotides) under Triticum aestivum (bread wheat). RNAcentral's name for it is "partial small subunit ribosomal RNA". Lineage: Eukaryota; Viridiplantae; Streptophyta; Magnoliopsida; Poales; Poaceae. The record is from RNAcentral.
AUGGCUCCUAAUAGAGCCCCUGGACCCGAUAAUAUUCCUACUGAGUUCUAUCAGGUGUGCUGGGAUAUAGUCAAAAAUGACAUUAUGGCCCUUUUUAAAGCUUUCUACCAAGGGACACUGGAUGUUCAACGGCUUAACUAUGGAGUUAUUACUCUACUCCCUAAGGUUUCUGAAGCCGAGAAAAUCCAACAAUACAGGCCUAUCUGCUUGUUGAGAUGCCCAUAUAAGUUGAUCACCAAAGUUCUUGACCGUAGAGUUGCCAUUUAUGCGAACAAACUCAUUAGUACUACUCAAAACGCCUUUGUAAAAGGGAGAAACAUCAUGGACGGGGUCCUGUCCCUUCAUGAAAUCCUCAAUUGCACUUAUGUUAAGAAGAAAGUGGGAAUCAUCCUUAAGUUGGACUUUGAAAAAGCCUAUGAUAAGGUGAAUUGGGACUUUCUCCUAGAAUGCCACAAGAUGUGGGGCUUUGACAAAACCUGGUGUGGUUGGAUUGAAAAGAUACUGCACAAUGGGACGGUGAGCAUCAAACUAAAUGGUAGUGUUGGGCCGUAUUUUCAAAGCAAAAAAGGGGUUAGGCAGGGGGACCCACACUCUCCUUUCCUGUUCAACCUAGUAGUUGAAUGCCUCACUAAAAUGAUCAAAAAUGCCCAAAAGAACAAACUUAUUGUGGGCUUGGCUGCAGACCUCAUCCCUGAUGGGGUGGCAGCCCUGCAAUAUGCAGAUGAUACAAUCAUUUGUAUCGAG